UAUGCUCGAAACCAAAGAGUGACACCUUUUUUACGCACUACAUGAGCUCAGCAGCAUAUUAAGAGCCGUUUUCGCAAUGUCCGGUUAAUAUUAUUUUUAAUCAGUGGUAACUUAGCUUGAAAUUACAACUUCAUUUUCAGCAAAGUCUGGUUACCCUUACUGCCCUUUUUCAUUGUCUGAAGAAGCGCUUAUGCGCAACAAUCGGUAGAUCGAAAAAAUUUUUAGUCUGUUGGUAAAUAGUGUCAGUUAAUUCUGAUAGAGUUAUCCGGGAAAAUAAGCUGCUGGUUUAAGAAAUUUUUUUAUUCCAGUAUUCGGGAUGUGACUACGAAAUUCAGUUGAUAUUGUCAAAUUCGCUAAGAGCAAAGUAGCGGUAUCACCAUCGGCACCACUUCAUUCUCCUCUCCAUCAUCACUGAGACCUUGGUAAUGGUUCGCGGACGUCGCCAUCAAGCCGACUGCGUUCAAGGCUAUGGCGCUAGAGCAGCUGAUUUUGUGUCUUGAUUGUCAAAGUGACUCGCUUCUUUUAGACGAAUAAUUUAAUUUUCAAGAUACCGUCGUUAACUGAACUUCUCGAUACUCAAUUGAUAAUUUUAUAACUGUCAAAUUUGAUUGAACGCGUUGCAAGGUGGAUUUAUUAUUAUUAUAAUGGCAACUUGAACAACAACCUGAAACAGGCGUUGCCAGUUAUGCCAUUUUGAAAAUAUCAAGUGAGCUAGUACGGUGUGCUCCCGCUUCUUCAUUGUUUUAAAGCAUUAUUUGAUUUAUACGAUGAAUAGAAAAGAAUGCCGCACAGAUUCUGAGUGAAUUCUUUUUGCAAUGAAGUCAAAUGCAGAGUGCGUCAAUCAUGUAAAAUGACAGCGCAUUCCUUCACAAACAACAAUUGUGACAACGUGAAUGGGUAGUGCAUUGUGAAUAUUUAAGAUCGAACACAGAAAAAUAGCGUUUCUUUUUAUAUUUUAAAUGCCAAUAAAUUAAAACUGCAUAUCAGCUAUAUAAUUAUAACAAUA
This is a long non-coding RNA of Anastrepha obliqua, 1006 nucleotides long. RefSeq lists it as uncharacterized. The transcript is spliced from 2 exons. NCBI's taxonomy places the organism in Eukaryota, Metazoa, Arthropoda, Insecta, Diptera, Tephritidae. The record is from RefSeq and is a predicted model, not a curated record.